This 492-nucleotide ribosomal RNA is filed under the name uncultured bacterium. RNAcentral's name for it is "partial 16S ribosomal RNA". It matches the Rfam family "Bacterial small subunit ribosomal RNA", at positions 28 to 507 of the family's 1533-position model. The record is from RNAcentral.
GAUGAACGCUAGCUAUAGGCUUAACACAUGCAAGUCGAGGGGAAACGGCAUUAUGUGCUUGCACAUUUUGGACGUCGACCGGCGCACGGGUGAGUAUCGCGUAUCCAACCUGCCCUUUACUUGGGGAUACCCCGUUGAAAGACGGCCUAAUACCCGAUGUAAUUCAUUGAUGGCAUCAGAUAUGAAUAAAAGAUUUAUCGGUAAAGGAUGGGGAUGCGUCUGAUUAGCUUGUUGGUGAGGUAACGGCUCACCAAGGCGACGAUCAGUAGGGGUUCUGAGAGGAAGGUCCCCCACAUUGGAACGGAGACACGGUCCAAACUCCUACGGGAGGCAGCAGUGAGGAAUAUUGGUCAAUGGGCGCAAGCCUGAACCAGCCAAGUAGCGUGCAGGAAGACGGCCCUAUGGGUUGUAAACUGCUUUUAUACGAGAAUAAUUUGAUGCACGUGUGCGUUAUUGCAUGUAUCGUAUGAAUAAGGACCGGCUAAUUCCGUG